Molecule: small nucleolar RNA, 86 nt
Filed under: Streptococcus intermedius SK54 = ATCC 27335
Lineage: Bacteria; Bacillati; Bacillota; Bacilli; Lactobacillales; Streptococcaceae
Source: RNAcentral
GUGAAUGAUUGAUAAAAAAAGAUAAGCGGAAACUAUCAACUCAUCUCAAAAAUUUAUUUAAAUCAUAAAGUAAUGUUGUCCUUAUA